Molecule: ribosomal RNA, 441 nt
Filed under: uncultured bacterium
Lineage: Bacteria
Description: partial 16S ribosomal RNA
Rfam family: Bacterial small subunit ribosomal RNA
Source: RNAcentral
CCUACGGGUGGCAGCAGUGGGGGAUAUUGCACAAUGGGGGGAACCCUGAUGCAGCGACGCCGCGUGGGUGAAGGAGUGCUUCGGCAUGUAAAGCCCUAUCGGCAGGGAAGAAGCAAGACGGUACCUGACUAAGAAGCCCCGGCUAACUACGUGCCAGCAGCCGCGGUAAUACGUAGGGGGCGAGCGUUAUCCGGAUUCACUGGGUGUAAAGGGAGCGUAGACGGCCAUGCAAGCCAGGGGUGAAAGCCCGGGGCCCAACCCCCGGACUGCUUUGGAAACUGUAUGGCUGGAGUGCAGGAGAGGUAAGUGGAAUUCCUAGUGUAGCGGUGAAAUGCGUAGAUAUUAGGAGGAACACCAGUGGCGAAGGCGGCUUACUGGACUGUAACUGACGUUGAGGCUCGAAAGCGUGGGGAGCAAACAGGAUUAGAUACCCGAGUAGUC